UAUUGCACUCCCCCCGGCCUUU
This 22-nucleotide microRNA is filed under the name Strongylocentrotus purpuratus (purple sea urchin). RNAcentral describes it as "Spu-Mir-92-o20_3p (mature (guide))". The record is from RNAcentral. Lineage: Eukaryota; Metazoa; Echinodermata; Echinoidea; Camarodonta; Strongylocentrotidae. RNAcentral also lists the same sequence under 1 other name.